Molecule: long non-coding RNA, 950 nt
Organism: Notolabrus celidotus (New Zealand spotty)
Lineage: Eukaryota; Metazoa; Chordata; Actinopteri; Labriformes; Labridae
Exons: 5
Source: RefSeq, a predicted model, not a curated record
GUGUGUGUGUGUGUGUGUGUGUGUGUGUGUGUGUGUGUGUGUGAUGGUACCAAGCCACAGGUGUUCAUCCACCCGCUGCGGCGCGUGCAGUGAAUAACCGGAGAGAUUCUCGGACGCUCCAACUGUAACACGAGGAAGGACGUCGAGGUACCCGGAAAACACCAGACUGAAAACAGACCUGACAGAGUGACCUCCUCCUCCUCCUCCUCCUCCUGCAGGAGCCGCUACAUGAACAGCUUCAACAGGAAGUGGUCACUGAAGCCCCGCCCACAGUGAGACCCGUAAACUCCACAGCUGAGGACCAACAAGGACAGGUUCAUUGAGUACUUCAUGGUUCAGGUUGUGUUCCCUCCUGUUGGUACGAGCUCCUCUGACAAACAGCCUGCUGCCAAUCAUAGAUGACCUUUAAGCACCGCCCACAGGAAGUGGGAGAGACCAUAGAGACCAGCAGAGGGCAGUAAGACAGAGACGAAGGCCUUUCAACAAAGAUGACACCAUAGAAGGAGACAGACAACCGACGUCAUUAUGAGCGAUGCGACAGUUAGCCUGUUUGCAUGAAGGACAUUCCUCUUGUCCUGUUUUUGUUUUACUGCAGAUGGAUUCACUGAAUCAACACUUUGAAGGAGACGAGCAUGAGAAGUAAAGACGUUUGAACACGCUUGAUACGCUCGACUGAAAGUGAUGUUGGUAUGACACUCAGAGUUCUCUCUGAGUGUGGCUGAAACUACACACCUGAUGGAAACAGAUCUUUGCCAGGUCAAUGAGGCGCGUAGUCAGGAUGUUUCACUUCUUCUCACAGGGACCCCCCCGAUCCUCUGUUAUGAGGAGCCGCUCUGUGUUUAUGCAGGGGACCAUCCGGACUCCCUGUCUCUCCAUUAGUCGUCCGUUCUGUCCGAUCGCUCACUCGCUCGCUGAGAGCAGCUGAUGAGUCAGAGAGCUGCGGAUGAUUU